This 292-nucleotide ribosomal RNA is filed under the name uncultured bacterium. RNAcentral describes it as "partial 16S ribosomal RNA". The record is from RNAcentral.
GGACUACCCGGGUAUCUAAUCCCGUUCGCUCCCCCAGCUUUCGCGUCUCAGCGUCAGGGGCAGGCCAGGAAGCCGCCUUCGCCACUGGCAUUCCUCCCGAUAUCUACGCAUUUCACCGCUACACCGGGAAUUCUACUUCCCUCUCCUGCCCUCGAGCCCGGCAGUAUCCCGCGACCUCCUACAGUUGAGCCGUAGGCUUUCACACGGGACUGACCAGGCCGCCUGCACGCGCUUUACGCCCAGUAAUUCCGGACAACGCUCGCCCCCUACGUCUUACCGCGGCUGCUGGCAC